AACUCUAACCUUUUCUGUCACUCGCACGAAAAGGGCAACUUUCUCCCAGACGCCUGGCGAAGCCACCGCUACCUCACCGUCGCCGCCUCUCCGUCACUGCCUCGCCGUCUCCGCCUCGCUCAGGAGCAUCAAGGCCGACGAGGACUCGAAUACCGUAUAGAUCAACGUGGGAUUCCUCACCGAGACCUUUCCGUGGAAGCAUUUCAAGGAUGCCCCCGAUUGCCAGAAGAAGCUGUUGCAGAAGGCCUCUUCCUUGAGCACUCUGACUUAGCCAAUGUUGUCGCCCAUGUGUGUUUCUGUUAACCCUAGAUGGAAAGGGAAUAAAAUGACCCUAGGGGAGACAAGGAAGGUGCUUUGUUGUUCACGUCACUGACUUGUUGAAGCGAGAAGUGACAGCUAGAGAUGAAAAUUAGGACAUGUCUUCAUCCCAAGGAGUUAUAAUGCAAAUGAUGGGGGUCGCGUGGAGUCGAUGGAGGACCGAAGUGAAAACUACAUCGAAUAAAAGUUACAUCAAAUAUUUCAUUAGAAGGGCUUGUUGCAAUAUGACUCAUUCCUCAUGAGCUGUUGUCUUAAACAUGGGAAGUUUUAUUUAACUAUUGGAAGUCAUUAAUUGUUUUUGACAUAUGUUUAUAGAUAUUUAAAAUUAUUUGUA
Zingiber officinale is the source of this 652-nucleotide long non-coding RNA. RefSeq lists it as uncharacterized. The transcript is spliced from 4 exons. The record is from RefSeq and is a predicted model, not a curated record. NCBI's taxonomy places the organism in Eukaryota, Viridiplantae, Streptophyta, Magnoliopsida, Zingiberales, Zingiberaceae.